UACUGCUACUGCUCAGAUCACAGACCCACAAGGCUUUAGUUUAGAUGGCUAAAGUUUCAUGCAAGAAUCUUCUUCUUGUGGCCUUUUUCUUGCUUUGCUUUGUUUCCAUUGGUGCAAGAGGUAAUUAAUUUCUAUUAGUUUCUUUCUUGAUUCUUGAAUCUUUAAAGUUGGCCAAGAUUUGAUGAUCAUAUGCAAUUGCAGAGCUAUUCCUUUAACAGUUUUUCUCCCUUCUCUUUGCAGCAAGGAGUUUGCGAGUGGCAAAAAACAUUAAUGAAGUAGAGAAGAUCAAGGACCAUGAAGAUAAUUCCUUCACAUCCAAAGGAAAUGGGGCGCCCCCAGAUGCUGAAGAAUUACUGGGGAUGGACUAUACUGGCCCCAAAAAAAAUCCUCCAAUUCAUAAUUAAAAUGGGAAAAUUUUGUCAAGCAACUUCAAGAGUUCCCUCUUAUGUUUGACGAUUUUGAGCUUUCAUCCAUAGUUAGAUACGUCUAGGAAGAAAAAUUAAAAUAGCUAGAUUUUUAUUUAUAUAUAUGUAUAUAUAAAAAAUAUAUAUGGUUUUAUAAACAUGGUAGAAGUGUAAACUUGCAAGAAGUGAUGAAUAUUGCACUAGGUUCUAGUCUGCAUGGAGUCUUUCUGUAAAUUAACAGGGGAGUGUUGGCUUGUGACACCUUAAUGAGUUACAGAAUACAAAAGUAC
This 694-nucleotide unclassified non-coding RNA is filed under the name Hevea brasiliensis (rubber tree). The record is from RNAcentral. Lineage: Eukaryota; Viridiplantae; Streptophyta; Magnoliopsida; Malpighiales; Euphorbiaceae.